Molecule: long non-coding RNA, 3914 nt
Filed under: Nicotiana tabacum (common tobacco)
Lineage: Eukaryota; Viridiplantae; Streptophyta; Magnoliopsida; Solanales; Solanaceae
Description: long non-coding RNA (NTAB_LNC015213)
Source: RNAcentral
GAAACAUAAACAUUACUAAGUUUGGCGGAAGAAGAUGAAAUCCGGCCUCCACGGAGGCUCCUUUCUCUCCCUAGGUCGAAUCCCCUUCAAAAAGUGUGUUCGAUGCCCUAAAAUAGGCGUUUUUGACUUAUAUAUUGCGUACAAAAGUCGUGGACCAAAGUUUCCCUUUUUCUUUUCCGAAUCAGCUUCAGGGAUUAAUGCUCGGGUGGAUGCUUCACGUCCGCCUCAGCUUGAACAUCUCAGCGUCGGAUGCUGGGGUGGAUGCUUCGUGUCCACCCUUUGUUCCUUCAACCUUGUUGUGACCAGGUGCGGAUGCUAAGGUGGAUGCCUUCUCCCGACUUCACUGAUAAGGGUGAACCAACUAGCCUUUUUUCCAAGGUGGAUGCGAUGCAUCCACCCUCUUCUCAUAUAGCUGGAGCACCUUUUCUUUAUUUUUUCACACCAAACAUCCUAAAUCAUCACAUACAACUUAAUUAGUCAUAAAACUAAUAAUUAACGCAAGUUGGGCAUUUUAAAGACCAAAUAGCACCAAAAAGAGAUUAAAAUAUGGGUAAAGUAAUAUUAAAAUAUAUAAGAAUAUGCCCAAUACCACCACCCCACACUUAAAGCUUUGUUCAUCCUCGAACAAACCAUCACUUUAGUAGACAAAACAAAAUUAAGCUCAUAUCAUUCAAAGCACGCCACACCUAUGAUCAUGGUUGAUUGCAACAAUUAAACUCUAGCAUAUGCAUUCAACACACACUUUCUUUUAACUUAUGCCAUAUUUUUAAAAUUAUUCUAAACAAAAGCAAUAUGCUCUUAACAAUCCUAGUCUCAAAACCCGACUCAAUGUCACAAUGCACUCAUGGCUUGAACACCCCACAUCAUAGAGAAGUCUAAUAAUAUAACCAAUCACUCGUGAAACCAUGUUCCCUCACAACAAAAUCAAGGAGAGUGAGUUGAAUCAAAACAUCAAAUCUCAUGAUCAAAUAUAAUUUAAGGACCUCACAUAUAUCAAAGAAAUAGCCCACUCUCACAAAGAAGUCACAUGCACGUAAUUGGUACCAUAGGCUUGCCCAUAAUGUAAACCUCUACUAAUGUAGGCUCGCUCGAUCUAAAAUUAAUUAGGACUUUUUCAUGGUUAUAAUGUGGGCUAAGGGACGGGUAGGAUAUAUUUUAGGAAUAGUGACUAACCCCCCAAGCACUUUAACACAUCACAUGGUAAACUUUAAACGCAUUUUCUUCAACACCACUUCAGUUUAACAAACAAGAUCACACCCCAAAAAUAUUCCCUCUUUCUUUAAACACUACCUUAAUUUACAUCCCGCUAGCAAGAACAAGACAAUAAUUUAUUCAUCUAUAUAUUUUUUCUUUUCUUUUUUCCAGUUUUUUCUCUUCUUUUUUUUCAACUAUUCUUUUUUUCUAUUUUCAUUUUUUGUUUGUGGGGUAUUAUUUUACAGAAUAAGUGCACAUUUAUUCCUUUCAUUGGUUCCACUCGAAAGCCACCCAAAUACCCUCCUUACUUCUUUUAGCGCUCAUUUCACAAUUAAAGUAUUUUAAGAGGUAAAAGGAUCAAGAGUUUCAAUUAAGAACAAAAGGAUAUAGGCUCGUAAUGUGCGUGCCAAAUAAAAGGUCUACAUGCUCAAAAGGGUUAACUAGGGAUAUAUUUUAUUUGUGAUAUUCAAUUAAUCUCAAAAAUAUCAAAGAAAGCCUAAAAUUAUUUUUCAAAUCGAGCAUCACCUAAAAUUUUGCUUCAACUGACAUACAAGGCAAGUUCUAGACUCAAUUACCAUACAUGGACUACACAAAAAUCUCACAACACAUGACACAUGACUCACUAAGGACGGUCCCAUUCGGACUCUCAAACAAUGCAAGUACUCACAAAGCCACAAGAUAUUAAGCAUGAAGCACAAAGUGAACAAUAGUCAAGUAAAAGAGACAUAGGCGUCACAAGACAUGCUAUCCAAUAUAUAAAGGCACCGUGCUCAAUUUCAAACACAUAGGGAAGAUAUUUCACAUGUCAAAGCCUAAAUAUGCUACUAUCAAAUAAGUCAAAGGCUCUAGGUUCAUCAUUUUUCCUUUAUUUAUUCCCUAAAUAUUAAUCUACUCUAGAAAUUAAAAAAAACUACUACCUGUCACACCUCCUUUUUCUCGAGGGAUAGGGAAAAUUUUCCAAUUAAAGUGACAUUAUUCGAAAUGAGAUUAUUUAUUUUAUCAGAGUCGCCACUUGAAAUAAUUAUUAAGGUGUCCCAAGUCAUCGACUUAUUUUAAAAUCCCAAAUCGAGGAAAUUGGCUCUAUUUAUGGUUCGCGAACACAGAAGAUCGGGUAAGAAAUUCUGUUAACCCGGGAGAAGGUGUGAGGCACUCCCGAGUUCCGUGAUUUUAGCAUGGUCACUUAACAAUUAAUACUUGGCUUAAUUAUAUGAAUUAUUACAUGUUUUAAACUUAUUGUGUAUUUUACCUUUGACCGCUUUUAAUUAUGUAUUUAAACCGCUUUCUAGUAUUUAUGGAGUUAUUCCUUGAACAAGUUACGAUGUCGUACACUUGUCAUUUUGGUACACAUUGCAAACCGCACCACGUGAAAUGCACUCGCGAUUUACAACAUAUUUAUUAUUAUUGUUUGAAGUUGUGGUCAAGUCGCGUAAAACGCGCACUCGAAUUGGGAUUUACGUAUCAUGACUAUGUUACGGGAAUCGUACCGAUAAUCAUGAUAAUUUAUUUAAACGCGCCUACGGCAACUAGCGCAUUCGAAUUAUUUUCCUAAACUAAUUUGAGAUUAUUGUGAGACCAUAAAUUAUGGAAUAGUUAUGAAAAAUGAAGUAAAUUGGUUAUGAGAAGAUGGGCUAGCUUUGUUAUUAAACAGGAAAUGGGCCAGCUAUGUUAUUUAUUACUCUGGGCCUCGCAAAUUAACCAUGUUCGCUCAUCUCUGUGUUCAUGAAGGCAACAUAAGGUCCACUAUUUUAUAACUGUGUGUCUAACAUAUCUAUAAAGUGCUACUUAUACUAAAACCUUAUCGAGACAGACCUCCAAGUUCCAAACCAAUUAAUCACGAAAUGCAACAAAAGAUUUAAUUAAAAAAUUUAUUAUGGCAAAAAGAAACAAAAUAGAAUAAAGCUUGGACAUAUAGAGAUACCACCAAGACAUCAAACCAAACGUGAACCUGUGGCCCGUCAACAUUGAAAGUAUUUUAAUUAGAGUCUUUGUUCAUGAUGAACAAAUUAAUGAAAACAAAUUAUCAAAAUUAACAUGUCCAAUAUGGUUUCCUUCCUAUCACAUUAACACAAUUAAAUAGGUAACUCAAUGAAAUACCGUUAAGGCUAGUCAAAGCACGAAAUUUAUUUAAAAGUAGAAGAGAAUGGACCUUUACAAUUGCUUGACUAUUUCCUUCAAAAUUCGAACAAGAAUGUACCUCUGACCGGAGUCGGAACCGCUAAACGGAGACCUCACUAGCGAGAUCGAACUGCGACCUUGAACCCGACCAAAGCUAUGGAUGGAGUUGGACUGAGAAGUAUCAGCUACAACAAAUUGGUUUUGGGUUGAUGUUUUAAUGGAUUUUAGGGCUGUUUUAUUGCGUUUUUGAGCUUGAGUUUCCAACUAGUUUUCAUGGAGUUUCGAGAAAGGAAAGUGAAGUUUUGUGUGGAUGUAAAGAUGGAGAAGAGCUUGCUUUAAUGGAGUUUUAUUGCUGUGCUUUUCGUGGUGUUCCCACAGUGAAGGUGAAACCAAGUAAAGAAGAAGGGAAAGAGAGACCUACUAUUGUUGCACGCGAGAAGAAGAAGAAGAAGAAGAAGAAGAAGAAGAAGAAGAAGAAGAAGAAGAAGAAGAAGAAGGCACUGCUUGGUUUUUAGUUCUCAAAUCGUUCUCUUUUCCCUGAUCUAUUUCCUCUCUUUUCCAUUUUUCCCCUAUUUUUGUUUCCUCCCUCUCUAGCUCUAUUUCCC